This 87-nucleotide small nucleolar RNA is filed under the name Echinops telfairi (small Madagascar hedgehog). RNAcentral describes it as "Small nucleolar RNA SNORD63 (ENSETEG00000026390.1)". It matches the Rfam family "Small nucleolar RNA SNORD63". Rfam says of the family: snoRNA U63 is found in both humans and mice. U63 is a member of the C/D class of snoRNA which contain C (UGAUGA) and D (CUGA) box motifs. The record is from RNAcentral. Lineage: Eukaryota; Metazoa; Chordata; Mammalia; Afrosoricida; Tenrecidae.
GUGCAAUGAUGUAUGUCAACACAUCAUUCUGAAAAAUAUAUAUGUGGUGACUUUCAAAAAAAAAAAUUUAUGGUAGAGAUUAGCCCA